CUGGCUCAGGACGAACGCUGGCGGCGUGCCUAACACAUGCAAGUCGAGCGAUGAAGUCUCGGAACGGAUUAGCGGCGGACGGGUGAGUAACACGUGGGUAACCUGCCUUGUAGAGGGGGAUAGCCUUCCGAAAGGAAGAUUAAUACCGCAUAACAUCUUUUUUAUCGCAUGGUAGAAAGAUCAAAGGAGUAAUCCGCUACAAGAUGGACCCGCGGCGCAUUAGCUAGUUGGUGAGGUAACGGCUCACCAAGGCGACGAUGCGUAGCCGACCUGAGAGGGUGAUCGGCCACAUUGGAACUGAGACACGGUCCAGACUCCUACGGGAGGCAGCAGUGGGGAAUAUUGCGCAAUUGGGGGGAAACCUUGACGCAGCAACGCCGCGUGAAUGAAGAAGGCCUUAGGGUUGUAAAGUUCUGUUUACGGGGACGAUAAUGACGGUACCCGUGGAGGAAGCCACGGCUAACUACGUGCCAGCCGCGGC
This 481-nucleotide ribosomal RNA is filed under the name uncultured bacterium. RNAcentral's name for it is "bacterial SSU rRNA". It matches the Rfam family "Bacterial small subunit ribosomal RNA", at positions 19 to 518 of the family's 1533-position model. The record is from RNAcentral.